Long non-coding RNA from Piliocolobus tephrosceles (Ugandan red Colobus), 1467 nucleotides. RefSeq lists it as uncharacterized. The record is from RefSeq and is a predicted model, not a curated record. NCBI's taxonomy places the organism in Eukaryota, Metazoa, Chordata, Mammalia, Primates, Cercopithecidae. The transcript has 3 exons.
GCGGCCGCCACCAGCCGGAAUAGCAGCCGGCGGAGCCCGUGCGCACCGCAGCGCAGCGCAGCGGCCGGGGGGUGCGGGCGCCCUUGCCGCCCGGAUACCUGCCGCUGCCUGGGCGCCCCCACUGCCUCCCUUCCGCGCUUCUCCCCUCCCGCAGACGCCGGCCGGGGCGACCCCUCCCAGGGUGACCAGGGGGAGGUGUUCCACGUGGCCAUAGCGUUUGCGUCACAAUGACCUGGCGGACAGGUGGGAGCCACAGCAUACACCCCAGGGUUCCCUCCGUGCCGUGCGUAGUGCCUGCUGCUUGCUUCCAGGUUAAAUUUCUGUAGCUUUAGAGGACGGGAGACUUCAUGACUUCAAUGCCAAGAAAAGUUACAGAGGCCUGCUGUACCUGGAAAUCAAGUUUGAGCUUCAAGAGUAAAGGCCAUGUUUUAAAAACAGCUGUGAAAGAAGCAAACCAUUGUUUAGGGACCCUGCAGUGUGCAGAUCACAGGAAGAAAAAGUGUUGGCGUAGCUGCUUCCUAAUGUUAUCUAUGUGGAAAUGAAACAUCAAUGUACUAUGACUUCAUCCCUGGCUAUGUUGUAUAUUUAUAAAUAAGUUCAUUCAGUCGUCGUUGAAACAAUUUCAAAGGGCCGAAUGAUAGUUAUUGAGUAAUGAUGCAGACAAAUCUGAAAUCCUGUGCUAACAUGGAUGGAGUGCUAGCUAUAUGUCCGGCACAUGCUGUAUGCUUUACAUUUAAUCCUUACAGCAACCCAAUACUGUAGAUAAAAUCAUUAUCCCGAUUUCACAAAUGAAUACACUGCCCAGAGUGCCAUAAAGAGAUUAUUGAGCAGGGAUUUGAAUCUGAACUAGGAGACUUAGCUUAAUCUGAAGAUAGCUUGGUGUCUUGCCAGAAUGGAUGGAGAAAAAGUAUAGAAGAUGUUGAUACUUUAAUAGAAAGAUAGUAAGAUAGCAUAGCUCCAGAAAUUUACAUAACCUUUAAAGUUAUUCUUUGGGGAUUCUGUUUGUCAUAUAUUUGAGCCUGUCCUAGUCUAACACAAAUUUUGGAGCUGAGUAAACAGCUCCUUAAUAAGUGUAUGAGUAAACAAAUCAUGAAUAUGGUCUACAGAAUAGUAAAUUGUUGAAAAGCUGAGAUUCAGGAGAAAUUUUCAGAGAGAAAAGCAUUGCUUAUAUAUAUUUGGCUCUUACAAGAAACAUUCAAACUAACCCGUUAACAACACAAGCCAAAUGAUUUUGCCAUAUGUAAGAAGAAGAAGAAAAAUACCCAAAACCUUCAAAAUGAGAAAAGCUUCCUUACAAAAGAAAGAUUGUUAAGAUAUUUUAAAAUACAUUGAUUCCAAGAACUGUAAAUUUAUGUGUAAAAAUCUAUUAUCAGGAGUUAAAAGGAUAAAGAGAUUAUUAUUCUUUAACAGAAUGAAGUGCCGUAAUGAACGUCAUAGGUGCUCAAUAAACGUUGACUGAGCAUAUCA